Molecule: ribosomal RNA, 410 nt
Filed under: uncultured bacterium
Lineage: Bacteria
Description: bacterial SSU rRNA
Rfam family: Bacterial small subunit ribosomal RNA
Source: RNAcentral
UAUUGGUCAAUGGGCGGGAGCCUGAACCAGCCAAGCCGCGUGAGGGAAUAAGGCCCUAUGGGUCGUAAACCUCUUUUGUCGGGGAACAAAAGCGGGGACGCGUCCCCGUUUGCGUGUACCUGAAGAAAAAGCAUCGGCUAACUCCGUGCCAGCAGCCGCGGUAAUACGGAGGAUGCGAGCGUUAUCCGGAUUUAUUGGGUUUAAAGGGUGCGCAGGUGGCCUGUUAAGUCAGCGGUAAAAGCCCGGGGCUCAACCCCGGCGAGCCGUUGAAACUGGCGGGCUGGAGUUGGAGAGAGGUACGCGGAAUGCGCGGUGUAGCGGUGAAAUGCUUAGAUAUCGCGCAGAACCCCGAUUGCGAAGGCAGCGUACCGGCUCCACACUGACGCUGAGGCACGAAAGCGUGGGUAUCG